AGCGUUCUGUAUCUGUGCUGAGAUUUCAUUGCAUACCAGACCACAAAGGCUGGUGAGACUCCCAAGAUAAGUGAAGCG
This is a non-coding RNA of Schistosoma mattheei, 78 nucleotides long. The record is from Rfam. NCBI's taxonomy places the organism in Eukaryota, Metazoa, Platyhelminthes, Trematoda, Strigeidida, Schistosomatidae.